UGAUUGCGAUUGCGUCUUCUGUGGACCUAUUGGGGCGGUAAGCAAAUUGGAUUGGGUCUAGGGUGUCAGGUAGGGGGGAGGUGAUAUGGUCCUUGACUAGUCUCUCAAAGCACUUCAUGAUGACGGAAGUGAGUGCUCCGGGGCGAUAGUAAUUUAGCUCAGUUACCUUCGCUUUCUUGGGAACAGGAACAAUGGUGGCCCUCUUUCAAUAUGUGGGAACAGCAGACUGGGAUAAGGAUUGAUUGAAUAUGUCCGUAAACACACCAGCCAGCUGAUCUGCGCAUGCUCUGAGGACGCGGCUGGUGAUGCCAUCUGGGCCGGCAGCCUUGCGAGGGUUAACACGUUUAAAGGUUUUACUCACGUUGGCUGCAGUGAAGGAGAGCCCGCAGGUUUUGGUAGCGGGCCGUGUCAGUGGCACUGUAUUGUCCUCAAAGCGAGCAAAGAAGUUGUUUAGUUUGUCUGGGAGCAAGACAUCAUGGUCUGCGACGGGGCUGGUUUUCCUUUUAUAGUCUGUGAUUGACUGUAGACCCUGCCACAUACCUCUCGUGUCUGAGCCAUUGAAUUAUGACUCUACUUUGUCUCUAUACUGACGCUUAGCUUGUUUGAUUGCCUUGCGGAGGGAAUAGCUACACUGUUUGUAUUCGGUCAUGUUUCCGGUCGCCUUGCCAUGAUUAAAAGCAGUGGUUCGUGCUUUCAGUUUUGCGCGAAUGCUGCCAUUAAUCCACGGUUUCUGGUUGGGGAAUGUUUUAAUAGACGCUGUGGGUACAACAUCACCGAUGCACUUGCUAAUAAACUCGCUCACUGAAUCAGCGUAUUCAUCAAUGUUAUUGUCCGACCCUAUGCGGAACAUAUCCCAGGUCCACGUGAUCGAAGCAAUCUUGAGGCGUGGAAUCCGAUUGGUCGGACCAGCGUUGAACAGACCUGAGCACGGGCGCUUCCUGUUUUAGUUUCUGUCUAUAGGCUGGGAGCAACAAAAUGGAGUCGUGGUCAGAUUUUCCGAAAGGAGGGCGGGGGAGGGCUUUAUAUGCAUCGCGGAAGUUAGAAUAACAAUGAUCCAGGGUUUUGCCAGCCCGGGUCGUGCAUUCAGAUUAGCCUUGUUAAAAUCCCCAGCUACAAUAAAUGCAGCCUCAGGAUAUGUGGUUUCCAGUUUACAUAGAGUCAAAUGAAGUUCUUUCAGGGCUGUCGAUGUGUCUGCUUGGGUGGACCUUGCCAUCAUCUUGACUAUAUUUCAUUUAUGUUUUCAUGGAAAACAAGGACAUUUCUAAGUGACCCCAAACUUUUGAAAGGUAGUGUAUAUACAGUACCAGUCAAUAUUUUUAACACAACUACUCAUUCAAGGGUUUUUCUUUAUUUUUACUAUUUUCUAAAUUGUAUGAAAUAACACUUAUGGAUUUAGGUAGUAACCAAAAAAGUGUUAAACAAAUCAAAAUAUAUUUUAUAAUUCAGAUUCUUCAAAGUAGCCAUAUUUUACCUUGAUGACAGCAUUGCACACUGUUGGUAUUCUCUCAACCAGCUUCUUGAGGUAGUCACCUGGAAUGCAUUUCAAUUAACAUGGUGUGCCUUGUUAAAAGAUCAUUUGUGGAAUUUAUUUCCUUCUUACUGCAUUUGAGCCAAUCAGUUGUGUUGUGACAAGGUAUGGGUGGUAUACAGAAGAUAGCCCUAUUUGGUAAAAGACCAAGUCCAUAUUAUGGCAACAACAGCUCAAAGAAGCAAAGAGAAAUGACAGUCCUUAAUAUAAGACAUGAAGGUCAGUCAGUACGGAAAAGUUCAAAAACGUUGAACGUUUCUUCAAGUGCAGUCGCAAAAAGCAUCAAGCGUUAUGAUGAAACUGGCUCUCAUGAGGACCGCCACAGAAAAGGAAGACCCAGAGUUACCUCUGCUGCAGAGGAUAAGUUCAUUAGAGUUAAUUGCACCUCAGAUUGCAGCCCAAAUAAAUGCUUCACAGAGUUCAAGUAACAGACACAUCUCAACAUCAACUGUUCAGAGGAGACUGCGUGAAUCAGGCCUUCAUGGUUGAUUGCUGCAACAACAUAAAACUACUAAGGGACACCAAUAAGAAGAGACUUGCUUGGGCCAAGAAACACCAGCAAUGGACAUUAGAUCAGUAGAAAUCUCGCCUUUCGUCUGAUGACUCCAAAUUUGAGAUUUGUUUGAUAAUCUAUGUUUUUUGAAAACGGUAUUGUUCAGAUGAAUUUGAUUAAUUCCAGGGAUGCACAACAUCCUGAAAUAUAUGUAGGUAUCUUUGUUAGAAAUAAUACUAUAGAAUACUAGUGAUGCUGAAUCCACAAAAUGUCUCAACUUACUCCACUCUGUUUUAUGACAGCUACUUAGAGAAAAAUUCUAGCAAUAUGGUCCACAUCCAUUCAACUGUGAACUCACUCAAGUGACACUCAAUAGCAGUGUUCUUUGGCUCGGGAUCUAUUGAAACAUUAGCUAAAGUUAGCACAGCCUUUUCUUUCUGUUGGCAGUGUGUUUGGUGGUACAUCAUAAACCAAAGUGUCCCCUCUUGGCCCAUAUCCCAGAUGUCACAUAACUUUUUACGUAAUUAAUUCUCAUCCAAGUGUGUGUGUGUGUGUGUCCAUGCGUGCAUGUGGUGCGUUGCAUGUAUGCAUGCACACACACACGUCCUAUGCCCUCUUCCCUUCAGUUUCAAACCUAUUUUAUCAGUAUCUUUGACAGACUUUAAUAUUUUAUUAACUUCCAUUAAAAUGUACCAUGCAGCAUUAAUUAGGAAGAGAAACAAACUCCAUUAAUAUUGAAGUUGUUUGUACAGAGAUAUCUCCCACCAAAAACCCAAACUCCCUUCAGUGUAAAUGUGCUGGGUUGUCUGCCUUUGACGAAGCACGAGAACAUGGUGUGACUAUCACUGGCUUUGGAGAAACUCUGUGAUCCUAGUUCAUACUCCAUUAAAGCUCUCUUCUUUGAGUCAGACAAGGUUACUCGCUCGCAGAAACUUAGCUAACAUACAUCACAACCUCUCGCAGUAGAACUCUAAAGGAGUGAAGAUCAAACAAAAUGGUGUGACAGAAGUGGAGAGACUUUUAGAAUCUACAGCAAGAAGAGUUGUUGUUUUUUCUCUCCACAGAGUUUAAUGCACUGGUAGCUUUGCUAAAAGUUUGACUGCCAAAAGUUUAAGGCUAACUGCUCCCAUAAGGGAUUUCUGAACUUAAGAAUGGGCAUAGUGUCACACAUGCACGUACACACAUCAGAUACUCACAGACACAUUUUAAAUGCACAUUUAAAUCAACACAUUUAAAGACAGAUACAGAAGUCAACUGUUGAGAAGAAAACAACAAGACAAAUUGUCCCAGCCGAGGCAUCGCUACUUAGAUGUUGCUAGUACAAUUAGGAUAUACUUCGUCUUCACUAAGAUUAAUAAUAGUUGCAGUGUGAACUUUAUUAGCAGCUAAUACGGGACCAUUACCCUGAAUUGCCGAUAAACAGGAAGAAGCUCCAAAUGGAAUGAAGCAACUAUUUGUCAUUACUACUGUAAACUCAAAUAUCAUCCAAUGAUUAUCCAUUACCGCUGGGUCAUGACAGAGCCACCAGUGGGUAAAUAUGGCAAGCAGGGAAAGAACCGUUCUUUAGAAUGAAGGAUUUUGGAAAGUCUGGGGAAUUGUUUUUUAUUUGUCUUCCUGGCACUCCAGAAUUACGUGCGAGAGGGACUUCAAAGUUCAUGAUGACACUGGUAACUUGUCCUCUUUUGUCUGUGUGUGAGUGUGUGCGUGUGCGUGCCUGCGUAUUUGCAGGGAGAGUUAACAGUCAGUACAGCUCAGGCCUUGGACCUCAGUGACAUGGCUUAGACUCAAGGGAGAAACAACACUAAGUACAGGCAGAUAGAUACAGUACCUGCAAAUAGAGUUUCGCUCCUCAGGUGUUGACGCCAAGUUGUCAGAUGACAUGGUGUACAAUGUGAUAGUGGACGUCCUCAGCAACCUGACACUGGUAGCGCAGCAGAUGAGGGCCUGGUAGUGAUGUCUGCUGAGCUGGAGGAGGUGGUGAACAGCAUUCUGAAAGGCAGUGCCCCUGGCAUGUGGAAGAAGAAGUCCUACCACAGCCUCAAACCCCUGAGCAGCUACGUCAAUGACUUCCUAGAUAGGCUCAAGUUCCUACAGGAACAUGCUCCGGGCAUAGUGUCCCCUAGGACUGGUACGAUGACGGGAUGCUGGCGGUCUUCUGGAUGUCAGGCUUCUUUUUCACCCAGGGCUUCCUGACGGGUGGCCAGCAGAACUGCUCCAGCAAACACACUAUCCCAUCGACCUGCUGGGCUUCGACAUUGAGCUGCUGCAUGACUGUCAGUGUCCGUGUAUAGGUGAUGAGGAAAGGAGUCAAUCGCAGGACACCGAACUGAGUAAAAAUUAAGUAUUUUACUCAAAUAAAAAUUCAGUAUACAAAAUCCACGCAAGGGAAAACAAGAACUACAAACACAACGAACAAUACCUACAGUAAAACACUAACGCAAAAAACAUCAUGAUGACCAGAGGGUUUAAAUAGGGAAGUAAUCAUAACCAAAUGGGAACCAGGUGUGAACAAUCAAGACAUAACCAAUCGACAAAGAAACAUGGAUCGGUGGCAGCUAGAAAGCCGGUGACGAUGACUGCCGAACGCCGCCCGAACAAAGAGAGGCACCAACUUCAGCGGAAGUCGUGACAAUGACAAAGAGUACCGCCAGCCCCCCAAAGAUGGUGAGACAGACAGAGGGGGGAGGGAAGGAAGAAUGGGUGAGAGAGGGGAGGAAGAAGUAAAGGGGUGAAGUGGAAAAAGAGAUGAAGGAUGAGAUUUCUCAUGAUUAAUCAGGAAUUCUGCUUUUCUGACACAAUCCUCCAACUGACCUAUUCCCUAGCCAAAAUCCUGAUUUUUAAUGGUAUCUUGAACACAGGUUCCCACCGUGAAGCAUGGAGGUGUGAUGGUGUGGGGGUGCUUUGCUGGUGACACUGUCUGUGAUUUAUUUAGAAUUCAAGGCACACUUAACCAGUACGGCUACCACAGCAUUCUGGUUUGCGCUUAGUGGGACUAUCAUUUGUUUUUCAACAGGACAAUGACCCAACACACCUCCAUUCUAUGUAAGGGCUAUUUGAUCAAGAUAGAGAGGGAUGGAGUGCUGCAUCAGAUGACCUGGCCUCCACAAUCACCCGACCUCAACCCAAUUGAGAUGGUUUGGGAUGAGUUGGACCGCAGAGUGAAGGAAAAGCAGCCAACAAGUGCUCAGCAUAUGUGGGAAGUCCUUCAAGACUGUUUCAAAAACAUUCCAGGUGAAGCUGGUUGAGAGAAUUCCAAGAGUGUGCAAAGCUGUCAUCAAGGCAAAGGGUGGCUACUUUGAAGAAUCUCAAAUAUAAAAUAUUUAUUUAAGACGUUUUUUGGCUACUACAUGACUCCAUAUGUGUUAUUUCAUAGUUUUGAUGUCUUCACUAUUAUUCUACAAUGUAGAAAAUAGUAAAAAUAAAGAAAAACCCUUGAAUGAGUAGGUAUGUCCAAACGUUUGACUGGUACUGUAUAUAUAUAACCGUCCUGUGUUCAG
RNAcentral lists this long non-coding RNA (5518 nucleotides) under Salmo salar (Atlantic salmon). Its description in RNAcentral is "lncRNA (ENSSSAG00000082663.1)". The record is from RNAcentral. Lineage: Eukaryota; Metazoa; Chordata; Actinopteri; Salmoniformes; Salmonidae.